Molecule: ribosomal RNA, 440 nt
Filed under: uncultured bacterium
Lineage: Bacteria
Description: partial 16S ribosomal RNA
Rfam family: Bacterial small subunit ribosomal RNA
Source: RNAcentral
CCUACGGGUGGCAGCAGUAGGGAAUCUUCCACAAUGGACGAAAGUCUGAUGGAGCAACGCCGCGUGAGUGAAGAAGUAUUUCGGUACGUAAAGCUCUAUCAGCAGGGAAGAAAAUGACGGUACCUGACUAAGAAGCCCCGGCUAACUACGUGCCAGCAGCCGCGGUAAUACGUAGGGGGCAAGCGUUAUCCGGAUUUACUGGGUGUAAAGGGAGCGUAGACGGCAGCGCAAGUCUGAAGUGAAAUCCCAUGGCUUAACCAUGGAACUGCUUUGGAAACUGUGCAGCUGGAGUGCAGGAGAGGUAAGCGGAAUUCCUAGUGUAGCGGUGAAAUGCGUAGAUAUUAGGAGGAACACCAGUGGCGAAGGCGGCUUACUGGACUGUAACUGACGUUGAGGCUCGAAAGCGUGGGGAGCAAACAGGAUUAGAUACCCUAGUAGUC